GUCGCACAACACAGUCUGGCAGAACGUCCAAAACGAAAAGCCUUCAUCCUGUGCCACCAGUCUGAAUGCCACGUGAAGAACAGUUAGAUGUUUAAUCAUGUGUCAAGCUUGUCUGAUAGGCUGUCACUUUUAAAUCUUAAAUCAAAAUGCUAUGGUGUUUUUUCCCCCCUCAACACUGUAACACAUAUCAGGCUUAGCAAGGCAAGUAAUGUGUGACAGCUCUGCACAGCACUAACACUAGCAAGAACGGCUUUUGUGAACAUAAAAGAAAAAGAUUUUUGGCAUUGUGUUAUAGCAGCACCAUCGCGGUGAUCUGUACUGUUCAUUAUCUGUUUUAAUAUUCUCUCUGAAUGUGCACAAUACCUGAAAAGCAAAAAUGAGCUCAAAGCAGCAUCUUGCCCGACAACAGCACUACGCUGUGCCCACGUGCCCCAGCCUGAGCCUGUGAGCUGGCCUGCCUUCCUCCAGACUCGGCAUGAACCACGCUGAGCAUCAGGUCACUCAGCACCAGGUCAGGGGCAUUCUGCCUCUCCCUGAAAGCCCAUAAAUGGGGUUUUAUGAACACCGGCAGGACAUGGUUCUUGGUGCAUAUUUGUCUGAGUGGUGCAAUGACUUCUUGGCUCACCUUGUGGCACGACUUGCAGGCUGAUUCAGGUUGUGCUUCUACUUGCACAUGUGAAACUAUCCAGUACAAUUCAGGCCCAUGCUGUGGGUGUCCAGACUAAAGAGGCCUUUGGAGUCAUUGCAGCUGAGCUGUAGCAUUCAGGGGGUACUGUGCUGUCUCAUCACCCGAGGUUUCAGCAGCAGCUGAUAUCAUUUGAUUUAGUUACAUUUAUUUCACCAGGAGCCUACAGAUAUCUGCAAACAGACCUGGCAUUAUAUGUUAAUUUU
Long non-coding RNA from Oxyura jamaicensis (ruddy duck), 891 nucleotides. RefSeq lists it as uncharacterized. The transcript has 2 exons. The record is from RefSeq and is a predicted model, not a curated record. NCBI's taxonomy places the organism in Eukaryota, Metazoa, Chordata, Aves, Anseriformes, Anatidae.